This 751-nucleotide ribosomal RNA is filed under the name uncultured bacterium. RNAcentral describes it as "bacterial SSU rRNA". It matches the Rfam family "Bacterial small subunit ribosomal RNA", at positions 28 to 776 of the family's 1533-position model. The record is from RNAcentral.
GACGAACGCUGGCGGCGUGCCUAACACAUGCAAGUCGAACGAAGCUCCGAACCUUGAGAUUCGUCGAUAGGUGAGGAUGACUUAGUGGCGGACGGGUGAGUAAUGCGUGAGCAACCUGCCCUUUGGAGGGGGACAACAGCUGGAAACGGCUGCUAAUACCGCAUAAAGUAUCUGGGAGGCAUCUUCCGGAUACCAAAGAUUUUAUCGCCGAAGGAUGGGCUCACGUCUGAUUAGCUAGUUGGUGGGGUAACGGCCUACCAAGGCUGCGAUCAGUAGCCGGACUGAGAGGUUGAACGGCCACAUUGGGACUGAGAUACGGCCCAGACUCCUACGGGAGGCAGCAGUGGGGAAUAUUGGGCAAUGGGGGCAACCCUGACCCAGCAACGCCGCGUGAAGGAAGAAGGCCUUCGGGUUGUAAACUUCUUUUAUGAGGGACGAAAGAGAUGACGGUACCUCAUGAAUAAGCUACGGCUAACUACGUGCCAGCAGCCGCGGUAAUACGUAGGUGGCGAGCGUUGUCCGGAUUUACUGGGUGUAAAGGGCGCGUAGGCGGGGGAGCAAGUCAGAUGUGAAAUCCCCGGGCUUAACCCGGGAACUGCAUUUGAAACUGUUUUUCUUGAGUGAUGGAGAGGCAAGCGGAAUUCCUAGUGUAGCGGUGAAAUGCGUAGAUAUUAGGAGGAACACCAGUGGCGAAGGCGGCUUGCUGGACAUUAACUGACGCUGAGGCGCGAAAGCGUGGGGAGCAAACAGG